This 23-nucleotide ribosomal RNA is filed under the name Cystobasidium ongulense. RNAcentral's name for it is "partial 18S ribosomal RNA". The record is from RNAcentral. Lineage: Eukaryota; Fungi; Basidiomycota; Cystobasidiomycetes; Cystobasidiales; Cystobasidiaceae.
AGGUGAACCUGCGGAGGAUCAUU